Molecule: ribosomal RNA, 446 nt
Filed under: uncultured archaeon
Lineage: Archaea
Description: bacterial SSU rRNA
Rfam family: Bacterial small subunit ribosomal RNA
Source: RNAcentral
UACGUAGGGAGCCAGCGUUGUCCGGAUUUACUGGGCGUAAAGAGCGCGUAGGCGGUUUGAUCAGCGGAGGGUGAAAUCCCGGGGCUCAACUCCGGGGCUGCUCUCCGAACUGUCAGACUAGAGUACGGGAGAGGACAGUGGAAUUCCUGGUGUAGCGGUGGAAUGCGUAAAUAUCAGGAGGAACACCCGUGGCGAAGGCUGCUGUCUGGAACGUUACUGACGCUGAGGCGCGAAAGCUAGGGGAGCGAACGGGAUUAGAUACCCCGGUAGUCCUAGCUGUAAACGAUGGACACUAGGUGUUGGAGGCAUCGACCCCUUCAGUGCUGUUCUGCUAACGCGUUAAGUGUCCCGCCUGGGGAGUACGGCCGCAAGGUUGAAACUCAAAGGAAUUGACGGGGGCCCGCACAAGCGGUGGAGCAUGUUGGUCAAUUGGAUUCAACGCCGGA